UAUCAGCUUGUGCAAUAAGAGGAGUGAACAGGAAACUAAGGAUGAUUUCCAUUGGUAUAAAUAAUAAUAGAUGACAGGAGAAAUUAUAAGCUGAUCCUAAUCAGCUGAAUGAACCUUUAUGGUCAAAUAUGGCUGUACAAAUAUAAUACUGGGCUUGGAGUAGGAAAAUUACUGUUUCAAUUCAAUUGAAAAUGGGAAAAGCUAUUAGUCUGAAACAUCAUCCAACAAGAUUUCUUUGCUUACCUUAUUGAAUUUUUGCAGUGGAAAUCACAGGGGUUGAAAGACAGUGACAGUUUG
Molecule: long non-coding RNA, 297 nt
Filed under: Bos taurus (domestic cattle)
Lineage: Eukaryota; Metazoa; Chordata; Mammalia; Artiodactyla; Bovidae
Description: long non-coding RNA NONBTAT016680
Source: RNAcentral